UACCUCUCAGAGUCACACCUGGAGAGUUUCCGUCACUCUCCCAGUCUCGACUAUGGGAGGGAGAGUCAAGCAGAGACCUGUCCAUUCCAUUCCUAGCUUGGACAGUGGCUAGUGAGUGGCAGGCCAUCUGCUACAAGU
This is a small nucleolar RNA of Ornithorhynchus anatinus (platypus), 138 nucleotides long. Lineage: Eukaryota; Metazoa; Chordata; Mammalia; Monotremata; Ornithorhynchidae. The record is from RefSeq and is a predicted model, not a curated record.